This 497-nucleotide ribosomal RNA is filed under the name uncultured bacterium. RNAcentral's name for it is "partial 16S ribosomal RNA". It matches the Rfam family "Bacterial small subunit ribosomal RNA", at positions 28 to 507 of the family's 1533-position model. The record is from RNAcentral.
GAUGAACGCUGGCGGCGUGCCUAAUACAUGCAAGUAGAACGCUGAAGCUUGGUGCUUGCACCGAGCGGAUGAGUUGCGAACGGGUGAGUAACGCGUAGGUAACCUGCCUGGUAGCGGGGGAUAACUAUUGGAAACGAUAGCUAAUACCGCAUAACAGUAGAUAUUGCAUGAUAUCUGCUUGAAAGGUGCAAAUGCCUCACUACCAGAUGGACCUGCGUUUGAUUAGCUAGUUGGUGAGGUAACGGCUCACCAAGGCGACGAUACAUAGCCGACCUGAAAGGGUGAUCGGCCACAAUGGGAACGGGACACGGCCCAGACUCCUACGGGAGGCAGCAGUAGGGAAUCUUCGGCAAUGGGGGGAACCCUGACCGAGCAACGCCGCGUGAGUGAAGAAGGGUCUCGGAUCGUAAAGGUCUGUUGUAAGAGAAGAACGAGUGUGAGAGUGGAAAGUUCACACUGUGACGGUAGCUUAACAGAAAGGGACGGCUAACUACGUG